UGCAGUACUGUUUUUUCUAUUACACCUUGAGAAGAGUAGCAAUAACAGGAAAAAUGAGAAUGUACACAUGAAGUAGUGUUUUUUUCUGGGGAGACAGGAUGUUAAACUGUAUAUCCUCGAUUCCUCAUGUCUUCCUUCUGAAAACACAAUGGAAGAAGACCAAAACGGAGGAAGGAUGAGGGCACUGAGGAAAUGAACCAAAUACAAUAGACUGGUAUUUGAACAAUGCUUUAGCCUGGUCCCAGCUAUUUGUGCCAUGGGAGUUGGCAAGACAGCGCAAAGAUCUGGGACCACAUUGCCUCACAGCACAUGUAACAUCAGUGCCUACGUGACUACAUUUCAACUGGCCUAUUGCGAUAUAGGAUGUGCAUCUGUGCCAAGAUUUAAAAAUGGUUAGAUCUAUCUUGACAACUCACAUUGCAUAAAAUCAAAGUGGACCAUGUUAACAGUGAUGCAGGCUUUAAUGUGAAACCAAACAUUUAUCCAGGUAGAGCUUUUUUCUUCACAGAUUUCUACAUGUUUUGUACAUUGUUUACAAAAUCAAGGAAUAUGCUUCAAAUUUGAAAACAAAUUGGUGAGAUGCUUUAAUUGGUUCAAAAGAAGACAGACAUAAAGAAUUUGUGACCUGGGACCACAUUGCCUUAUGGCUUUGUAAGAAACAUGUCAAAAGUACAAAAAUCCCAAAUUCCCCAAAAAUAACCUUGUGAUUUACAGAGCAUGCUUGGUGUUCAGGGAAAAUAAAGACAUGGGAAUAAUAUAACUGAAACUGACAUCCCCUAUCAAGUAAUUCUGUUGUAUUAGGAACUCAAACUAUUGUCCAAUUUAGGGAGAGUGGAAAAGACAAAUGAUGUGUGGUUGAUGGAGUGGCUUGACUGCAGUCAGCUCCUCUGAACCAAAUGGUUUAGAAAAUACUCACAAAUUUUUGCUAAAGAAAAAACAGAUCAAUUUCUGUCAAAGUGCUAUGUUGUGCUGAGCCUCAUUCAUAUUAGGAUGUUAUCUUUUUCUGAAAAUCACAUUAGAAAUGUUUUCAAAACAGUGUCCUUUGAUGUUAGGCUUAUAUAAAAACUUUCCAACAGUGAGCUGGAGAAUGACCUAUUUUAGUUGCAUGGCAUUCUGUUACACAAACAUGAAAUCAGAGAUAGUGACUGCAUUCUAUUCUGGUAAAUAAAUAGGAACUUGAGUGAAAGUAAAGGCAACACUAGUUGCAGCUGUUCCCUGGCGCUAUCUGAGUUAAAGGUUGUGUUCAAUAGUCCCAAAUAGGAGGGUUGUCUAAACUUCAAUAAGAAACAUCUAUGUUCAAUUACCUUUAGCAAACAUGCACCCUAAUGAACACAACCUGAGAGUUGGCCAAACUGUGGUAUGAAUUGAAUGGUAACAGUUUUUUGUUUUUUUCAUAGGAAUUAAAAGAAACAUUCAAUAUCUGUUGUUCAGUGCAGCAACCAGUAGCUCGCUUUUGGCUUCCCUAGUCUAGUUAUAUGAUUAACAAACCAAAAGGAUUUUGCUGAAAUCUUUCAAAUAACAAAUGUGGUAAAUGAGGGCAUAAUGACCCAAGUAUGGCAAAGUAAAAAUGCAGGCUAGCUAGUUGACCUAGCCAAGCCAAAACAGCAACAAAGUUGGCAAGAGUGCAAAGAGAUCUGUGGCCAACCUAUGUGGACCCCCUUCUCAAACCUUCAUUUCCACUUUCUGUGCCUCAUCAGGGGGCUGCACUUCCAGAGCAGCAGUCUUGCGUUUGUUAAUAAGUUAUUCACCUAAUCUUACCCUAAUAUUUCCUACUUAUUUGUUAUCCAUUUUGUAUUAACUGCCUUGUCAUAAGCGAAGCUGCUGAUGAUCUCAUCGUUCGGUUAAGCAGGAAGUUGUCGACCCAGAAGGAGCUGCUGGUGUGAUGAGUCAAAGGCCCUAGCCCCCCUCCCCAAGCCCUGGGCUGUGCCUAGCCCCCCUCCCCAAGCUCUGGGCUGUGCCAAGCCCCCCUCCCCAAGCCCUGGGCUGUGCCUAGCCCCCCUCCCC
Long non-coding RNA from Esox lucius (northern pike), 2004 nucleotides. The record is from Ensembl. NCBI's taxonomy places the organism in Eukaryota, Metazoa, Chordata, Actinopteri, Esociformes, Esocidae.